Melanotaenia boesemani (Boeseman's rainbowfish) is the source of this 378-nucleotide long non-coding RNA. RefSeq lists it as uncharacterized. Lineage: Eukaryota; Metazoa; Chordata; Actinopteri; Atheriniformes; Melanotaeniidae. The transcript has 3 exons. The record is from RefSeq and is a predicted model, not a curated record.
CUCUGAGAAUGAACGAGGCAGGACGUAGACGGUCUGAGCCAAACUUUAUGGGUCAUCUUGUAAAAGGGAAUACAAGCUAGAGUGUGUGGCUGUGUGGCUUGCUGUGUUUGUGCUGAAACCUCAUCUUGGCUAGGUUUUUUUCUGAUGGUUAAUGAAACUGCGAAUAGGAUUCAUGGAUGUCUGAUGUUCUCUGGAUGGAGAUGGCGACCCUGUACCCAGAACUGAGCCAAACCCUUGUCUGAAGGUCCUCAUUCUGAAGGCUUAACCAGCAAAGUGGUAACAACUCACACCCACGGGAAGGAAAGGAACUGAACUAAAAGAAAAGGUUGACUUGGCUAAUGCCUAAAAAGGACAAACAUUCGGCUCAAGGACUGUGUU